Molecule: ribosomal RNA, 246 nt
Filed under: Triticum aestivum (bread wheat)
Lineage: Eukaryota; Viridiplantae; Streptophyta; Magnoliopsida; Poales; Poaceae
Description: partial small subunit ribosomal RNA
Source: RNAcentral
AUGUCACGUCGAGGUACUGCAGAAAAAAGAACUGCAAAAUCUGAUCCAAUUUUUCGUAAUCGAUUAGCUAACAUGGUGGUUAACCGUAUUAUGAAAGACGAAAAAAACCAUUGGCAUAUCAAAUUCUCUAUCGAUCCGUGAAAAAGAUUCAACAAAAGACAGAAACAAAUCCAUGUUGGUCAACCAUCCGAACCGGGAUUCCUGUUAUUCAUACGAAGGAACAAGAAAAGAAGAAGUAUGGGAUAA